UAAAUCAUGGGAUCUCAGGCUUCAAACCCUUAAAAGGGAUUCCAGUUUACAAUAGCUGGAACAUCAAUUCUGGAGAGAUGGAUCCCAGAUUUUGCUUUAACCAAAUAAAUACCUUAUUCAUCAUCUUGCACUCCUUACCCAUGUUCUUCUCCAGGUGAUACCUGCAGUUCUUUUCCGGAUUAUAGAAUGGGGACAUCAUCAGUUCGACUGGGGGUGGAGUUGGAGGUGCGGAGGUUUAUGGAAGUGGGAUGAUUAGAUCAAGAUUUAUACCAAAGCAACAAAACAAGAGGAACAUGAGAGCACCAAGAAUGC
This 312-nucleotide unclassified non-coding RNA is filed under the name Hevea brasiliensis (rubber tree). Lineage: Eukaryota; Viridiplantae; Streptophyta; Magnoliopsida; Malpighiales; Euphorbiaceae. The record is from RNAcentral.